AAUCUGUGCUGGAAGCGAUGAUGUUGGUCCCGCUUAUAUGAAAUGAGUAAAAAUAAGGCAUCUCUGAUGCUUGUGUACCAUAGCUGGCGGGUGACGGGCAGUGGACGGAAAGGUCUGCUGUCUAACUCGUGUAUUGCAAUAACAAUAUGAGCGGGGAAAAAUCUCUUGCAGACGACUUGAAUGGGAAGGGGGUGCUGUAAGCAGUAGAGUGGCCUUGUUGCUACGAUCUGCUGAGGCUCAGCCCUAUCUUCCACGAUUUGU
RNAcentral lists this ribosomal RNA (261 nucleotides) under Ustilago esculenta. RNAcentral's name for it is "partial 28S rRNA". It matches the Rfam family "Eukaryotic large subunit ribosomal RNA", at positions 3139 to 3401 of the family's 3401-position model. Lineage: Eukaryota; Fungi; Basidiomycota; Ustilaginomycetes; Ustilaginales; Ustilaginaceae. The record is from RNAcentral.